UGGGGAAUAUUGCACAAUGGACGGAAGUCUGAUGCAGCAACGCCGCGUGCGGGAUGACGGCCUUCGGGUUGUAAACCGCUUUUUCUCAUGACGAAGUUUUUUGACGGUAGUGGGGGAAGAAGCACCGGCUAACUACGUGCCAGCAGCCGCGGUGAUACAUAGGGUGCGAGCGUUGUCCGGAAUUAUUGGGCGUAAAGAGCUUGUAGGCGGUUUGUCGCGUCGAUAGUGCAAACUCAGUGCUUAACGCUGAGCCUGCUGUUGAUACGGGCAGACUAGAGGAAGGUAGGGGAGAAUGGAAUUCCCGGUGGAGCGGUGGAAUGCGCAGAUAUCGGGAGGAACACCGGUGGCGAAGGCGGUUCUCUGGGCCUUUCCUGACGCUGAGAAGCGAAAGCGUGGGGAGCGAACAGG
RNAcentral lists this ribosomal RNA (408 nucleotides) under Fusobacteriota bacterium. RNAcentral describes it as "Fusobacteria bacterium partial 16S ribosomal RNA". It matches the Rfam family "Bacterial small subunit ribosomal RNA", at positions 355 to 776 of the family's 1533-position model. The record is from RNAcentral. Lineage: Bacteria; Fusobacteriati; Fusobacteriota.